This is a transfer RNA of Ovis aries (sheep), 73 nucleotides long. It matches the Rfam family "tRNA". Rfam says of the family: Transfer RNA (tRNA) molecules are approximately 80 nucleotides in length. Their secondary structure includes four short double-helical elements and three loops (D, anti-codon, and T loops). The record is from Rfam. NCBI's taxonomy places the organism in Eukaryota, Metazoa, Chordata, Mammalia, Artiodactyla, Bovidae.
UCCCUGGUGGUCCAGUGGUUAAGACUCUGAGCUUCCACUGUAGGGGGCACAGGUUCGAUCCCUGGCUAGGGAA